Molecule: ribosomal RNA, 412 nt
Filed under: uncultured bacterium
Lineage: Bacteria
Description: partial 16S ribosomal RNA
Rfam family: Bacterial small subunit ribosomal RNA
Source: RNAcentral
UGGGGAAUUUUGGACAAUGGGCGAAAGCCUGAUCCAGCAAUGCCGCGUGUGUGAAGAAGGCCUUCGGGUUGUAAAGCACUUUUGUCCGGAAAGAAAUCCUUGGCUCUAAUACAGUCGGGGGAUGACGGUACCGGAAGAAUAAGCACCGGCUAACUACGUGCCAGCAGCCGCGGUAAUACGUAGGGUGCAAGCGUUAAUCGGAAUUACUGGGCGUAAAGCGUGCGCAGGCGGUUUGCUAAGACCGAUGUGAAAUCCCCGGGCUCAACCUGGGAACUGCAUUGGUGACGUGGCAGGCUAGAGUAUGGCAGAGGGGGGUAGAAUUCCACGUGUAGCAGUCGAAAUGCGUAGAGAUGUGGAGGAAUACCGAUGGCGAAGGCAGCCCCUGGGCCAAUACUGACGCUCAUGCACGAAA